This 383-nucleotide long non-coding RNA is filed under the name Physcomitrium patens. RNAcentral describes it as "long non-coding RNA (PPAT_LNC011224)". The record is from RNAcentral. Lineage: Eukaryota; Viridiplantae; Streptophyta; Bryopsida; Funariales; Funariaceae.
UGUGUAUUAAUUUUGUAAGAGCUUUGCAAAGUUGAGGUUUGUUUUGAGUGAUUCUAGAUUUGUGAAAUAAAAUAGGUGAUACUUUUUGAAAAAUUUUAUAAAUUUGGCAAUAGAUCUAUAAGUGAAAAUUUUAGAUUUUUAUAUGUAGUUGUGCUUCAUGUAUGCUGUAUAUUUGGAUUUGAUCAAAUGAUUAGAUUAAAAGGCAUAAAAGUUUUUAUGGAUUAUGGACUUGGAAUUUAGGAUUUUAAAGACUAAUGAGGUUUUCUUAGAUAUCUGUCAAUCCACUAAUUAUAUUGAAAUAAUUAUUUUCAUAGAACUAGUUAAAUUGAUUUCUAAUAAGUAUGUAAAGUUUGGAAGCAAAGUAAUAGUUUAAUGAAGAGUAA